CACCAUGUCAGAUGAGGAGGAUGGUCUAGAUGUCCUUAACAUUAAACCUCCACAAGCAGUCAUUGCUAAGCCAUCGCGGAGCAAACACAGUGAUCGUCUUUAUCAUUCCAGGUCUUCAUCAUCAUCCUCACAGCGGAAGAGCCAUCACCGUGGUCAUCACCAUGAAGAAAGGAGAAGGAGGCACAGGGAAAAAGAUGCAGAACAAAAAGAACUUUCCUGCAACAACAAUCCUUAGAAAUGUACCCAGCAGUGCGAGGCGACAGCAUGAUGAAUCCAGGGAUUCUCAUCGUAGUCGCCAUGAACAGCGAAGAGAAAGAAGGAGAGAAAGGAAUCCGGAAAGAACAAGAAAGAAUGUUCAGGAACAAAGAAUUGGAACGAGACAAGAGAAGAGAUCUCAGAAACCGUGAAGAAAGAAAAGAAAGAUUCAUGCAUGCGAACAGAAAGAGCCAGGAAUGAAUCUGCUGAGCUGAAAUUAUUAAAAUUGAAG
This 487-nucleotide long non-coding RNA is filed under the name Bemisia tabaci. RNAcentral's name for it is "lncRNA ENSSWEETPG008633". Lineage: Eukaryota; Metazoa; Arthropoda; Insecta; Hemiptera; Aleyrodidae. The record is from RNAcentral.